UACGGGGGGGGCAAGCGUUGUUCGGAAUUACUGGGCGUAAAGGGCUCGUAGGUGGCCAACUAAGUCAGACGUGAAAUCCCUCGGCUUAACCGGGGAACUGCGUCUGAUACUGGAUGGCUUGAGUUUGGGAGAGGGAUGCGGAAUUCCAGGUGUAGCGGUGAAAUGCGUAGAUAUCGGGAGGAACACCUGUGGCGAAAGCGGCGCACUGGACCAUAACUGACGCUGAGGCGCGAAGGCUAGGGGAGCAAACGGG
Molecule: ribosomal RNA, 253 nt
Filed under: uncultured bacterium
Lineage: Bacteria
Description: partial 16S ribosomal RNA
Rfam family: Bacterial small subunit ribosomal RNA
Source: RNAcentral